Molecule: ribosomal RNA, 279 nt
Filed under: uncultured bacterium
Lineage: Bacteria
Description: partial 16S ribosomal RNA
Rfam family: Bacterial small subunit ribosomal RNA
Source: RNAcentral
UGCCAGCCGCCGCGGUAAUACGGGGGGUGCAAGCGUUACUCGGAAUCACUGGGCGUAAAGAGCAUGUAGGCUGGUUUGUAAGUUGGAAGUGAAAUCCUAUGGCUUAACCAUAGAACUGCUUCCAAAACUGCAGACCUAGAGUAUGGGAGAGGUAGAUGGAAUUUCUGGUGUAGGGGUAAAAUCCGUAGAGAUCAGAAGGAAUACCGAUUGCGAAGGCGAUCUACUGGAACAUAACUGACGCUGAGAUGCGAAAGCGUGGGGAGCAAACAGGAUUAGAUA